AACUCUGGUAUUGAUUGGUGCUUGCAUCAUGAUUUACAUUUGAGUGAGUGGCGAACUGGUGAGUAACACGUGGGAAACCUGCCCAGAAGCGGGGGAUAACACCUGGAAACAGAUGCUAAUACCGCAUAACAACUUGGACCGCAUGGUCCGAGCUUGAAAGAUGGCUUCGGCUAUCACUUUUGGAUGGUCCCGCGGCGUAUUAGCUAGAUGGUGAGGUAACGGCUCACCAUGGCAAUGAUACGUAGCCGACCUGAGAGGGUAAUCGGCCACAUUGGGACUGAGACACGGCCCAAACUCCUACGGGAGGCAGCAGUAGGGAAUCUUCCACAAUGGACGAAAGUCUGAUGGAGCAACGCCGCGUGAGUGAAGAAGGGUUUCGGCUCGUAAAACUCUGUUGUUAAAGAAGAACAUAUCUGAGAGUAACUGUUCAGGUAUUGACGGUAUUUAACCAGAAAGCCACGGCUAACUACGUGCCAGCAGCCGCGGUAAUACGUAGGUGGCAAGCGUUGUCCGGAUUUAUUGGGCGUAAAGCGAGCGCAGGCGGUUUUUUAAGUCUGAUGUGAAAGCCUUCGGCUCAACCGAAGAAGUGCAUCGGAAACUGGGAAACUUGAGUGCAGAAGAGGACAGUGGAACUCCAUGUGUAGCGGUGAAAUGCGUAGAUAUAUGGAAGAACACCAGUGGCGAAGGCGGCUGUCUGGUCUGUAACUGACGCUGAGGCUCGAAAGUAUGGGUAGCAAACAGGAUUAGAUACCCUGGUAGUCCAUACCGUAAACGAUGAAUGCUAAGUGUUGGAGGGUUUCCGCCCUUCAGUGCUGCAGCUAACGCAUUAAGCAUUCCGCCUGGGGAGUACGGCCGCAAGGCUGAAACUCAAAGGAAUUGACGGGGGCCCGCACAAGCGGUGGAGCAUGUGGUUUAAUUCGAAGCUACGCGAAGAACCUUACCAGGUCUUGACAUACUAUGCAAAUCUAAGAGAUUAGACGUUCCCUUCGGGGACAUGGAUACAGGUGGUGCAUGGUUGUCGUCAGCUCGUGUCGUGAGAUGUUGGGUUAAGUCCCGCAACGAGCGCAACCCUUAUUAUCAGUUGCCAGCAUUAAGUUGGGCACUCUGGUGAGACUGCCGGUGACAAACCGGAGGAAGGUGGGGAUGACGUCAAAUCAUCAUGCCCCUUAUGACCUGGGCUACACACGUGCUACAAUGGAUGGUACAACGAGUUGCGAACUCGCGAGAGUAAGCUAAUCUCUUAAAGCCAUUCUCAGUUCGGAUUGUAGGCUGCAACUCGCCUACAUGAAGUCGGAAUCGCUAGUAAUCGCGGAUCAGCAUGCCGCGGUGAAUACGUUCCCGGGCCUUGUACACACCGCCCGUCACACCAUGAGAGUUUGUAACACCCAAAGUCGGUGGG
This 1399-nucleotide ribosomal RNA is filed under the name Lactiplantibacillus plantarum. RNAcentral describes it as "bacterial SSU rRNA". It matches the Rfam family "Bacterial small subunit ribosomal RNA", at positions 65 to 1434 of the family's 1533-position model. The record is from RNAcentral. Lineage: Bacteria; Bacillati; Bacillota; Bacilli; Lactobacillales; Lactobacillaceae.